CUGGAAUGAUGUAAUUUAGCCAAAUCAGACAUGAUGUGCUCGCAAAAUGAAGUACCCUGUUUAAGUUAUUGCUACAUUUGGAGGCAUGAUCUGAUUGCUUCUAUGUAGCUAGU
Molecule: small nucleolar RNA, 113 nt
Organism: Impatiens glandulifera
Lineage: Eukaryota; Viridiplantae; Streptophyta; Magnoliopsida; Ericales; Balsaminaceae
Product: small nucleolar RNA snoR127
Exons: 1
Source: RefSeq, a predicted model, not a curated record